RNAcentral lists this ribosomal RNA (292 nucleotides) under uncultured bacterium. RNAcentral's name for it is "partial 16S ribosomal RNA". It matches the Rfam family "Bacterial small subunit ribosomal RNA", at positions 505 to 796 of the family's 1533-position model. The record is from RNAcentral.
GUGUCAGCCGCCGCGGUAAGACGGAGGGGGCAAGCGUUGUCCGGACUCACUGGGCGUAAAGCGCACGUAGGCGGUGCGGUGCGUCGCGGCUGAAAGCGCCAGGCUUAACCUGGCGAGGCGUUGCGAUACGACCGUACUUGAGGCAGGCAGAGGGUGGCGGAAUUCCGGGUGUAGUGGUGAAAUGCGUAGAGAUCCGGAGGAACGCCUGUGGCGCAAGCGGCCACCUGGGCCUGACCUGACGCUGAGGUGCGAAAGCGUGGGGAGCGAACCGGAUUAGAAACCCCCGUAGUCC